AUUGAACGCUGGCGGCAUGCCUUACACAUGCAAGUCGAACGGUAGAGUAGCAAUACUUGAGAGUGGCGAACGGGUGAGUAAUAUAUCGGAACGUGCCCAGUCGUGGGGGAUAACGUAGAGAAAUUUACGCUAAUACCGCAUACGAUCUAUGGAUGAAAGCGGGGGAUCGCAAGACCUCGCGCGAUUGGAGCGGCCGAUAUCAGAUUAGGUAGUUGGUGAGGUAAAGGCUCACCAAGCCGACGAUCUGUAGCUGGUCUGAGAGGACGACCAGCCACACUGGGACUGAGACACGGCCCAGACUCCUACGGGAGGCAGCAGUGGGAAUUUGGACAAUGGGCGCAAGCCUGAUCCAGCAAUGCCGCGUGCAGGAUGAAGCUCGGUUGUAACUAGCGUUUGUACGGUAACGG
This 407-nucleotide ribosomal RNA is filed under the name uncultured bacterium. RNAcentral's name for it is "bacterial SSU rRNA". It matches the Rfam family "Bacterial small subunit ribosomal RNA", at positions 30 to 449 of the family's 1533-position model. The record is from RNAcentral.